CCUACGGGGAGCAGCAGUGGGGAAUAUUGGACAAUGGGCGAAAGCCUGAUCCAGCCAUGCCGCGUGUGUGAAGAAGGCCUUCGGGUUGUAAAGCACUUUCAGUGGGGAAGAAAGCCUUGGGGCUAAUACCCUCGAGGAAGGACAUCACCCACAGAAGAAGCACCGGCUAACUCCGUGCCAGCAGCCGCGGUAAUACGGAGGGUGCGAGCGUUAAUCGGAAUUACUGGGCGUAAAGCGCGCGUAGGCGGUCUGAUAAGCCGGUUGUGAAAGCCCCGGGCUCAACCUGGGAACGGCAUCCGGAACUGGCAGGCUAGAGUGCAGGAGAGGAAGGUAGAAUUCCCGGUGUAGCGGUGAAAUGCGUAGAGAUCGGGAGGAAUACCAGUGGCGAAGGCGGCCUUCUGGACUGACACUGACGCUGAGGUGCGAAAGCGUGGGUAGCAAACAGGAUUAGAUACCCUAGUAGUC
This 465-nucleotide ribosomal RNA is filed under the name Vreelandella stevensii. Its description in RNAcentral is "partial 16S ribosomal RNA". It matches the Rfam family "Bacterial small subunit ribosomal RNA", at positions 338 to 795 of the family's 1533-position model. Lineage: Bacteria; Pseudomonadati; Pseudomonadota; Gammaproteobacteria; Oceanospirillales; Halomonadaceae. The record is from RNAcentral.